RNAcentral lists this long non-coding RNA (479 nucleotides) under Rattus norvegicus (Norway rat). Its description in RNAcentral is "long non-coding RNA NONRATT025940". Lineage: Eukaryota; Metazoa; Chordata; Mammalia; Rodentia; Muridae. The record is from RNAcentral.
GUGAGCCAGCUACACCACUUCUGGACAUACACGCCAAAACCAGAGGAAAGCAAAAAGUAAAUAGCUGUAACAAACGCCUAUCAAGAUUAAAAUAUCGAGCUCUGAAGACAAAGUUUGCCACCUCUGGUAAAGGAGUUUAUAGCCCAUUCCAAUCUGAGCACUGAUGGUAUGAUGGUAUGUUCUGGCAGCAGGGGAGAGAUCAAGUGCGUCUUAGAUGAACUGGUGAUCUACUGAGACUUAUGUGGAGACCUGGAAGCAACUUGGUGACGAUUAAGAGCAUGGGCCACGUGGAUGUGACCAGAUGAAAAAUAUCUUCCAGGUAAUGAACUGGCUUUCAGGACUGCACCAGUUUAGGACUGCUGGCUUAUCACGCACAAAGACAAGAUGGGGGAAGGGUACUAUUCCAUGACCACAGCUGCAUUUUAAAGAACACGUAUGAAUGCUCACCUUGCUUUAAAUAAAUGAGAAAAUUUGCACAA